AGCGAGUCAAAGGACACCGCGUCUUUCUGCAACUAUAUAUUACUCUCACUUGUCUCUGCUUUCUCUUCUUCUCUUCCAUUUCCUCUGUAGAGCUCUCUUUUUUCUCACUGUUGAGAUAUGGAGACCUUUCUUUUCACUUCUGAGUCUGUUAAUGAGGGACACCCUGACAAGCUCUGUGACCAAGUCUCAGAUGCCAUUCUUGAUGCCUGCCUAGAACAAGACCCAGAGAGCAAGGUUGCCUGUGAGACCUGUACAAAGACUAACAUGGUCAUGGUCUUUGGUGAGAUAACAACCAAGGCUAAAGUAAACUAUGAGAAAAUCGUUAGAGAUACUUGCAGAGGCAUUGGGUUUACAUCUGCUGAUGUUGGCCUUGAUGCUGAUAAGUGUAAGGUCCUUGUUAACAUUGAGCAACAAAGCCUCGAUAUUGCCCAAGGAGUUCAUGGCCAUCUCACCAAGAAACCUGAGGAAAUCGGAGCUGGUGAUCAAGGCCACAUGUUUGGCUAUGCCACUGAUGAAACUCCUGAGCUUAUGCCACUAACUCAUGUACUUGCCACCAAGCUUGGUGCCAAGCUCACUGA
RNAcentral lists this unclassified non-coding RNA (578 nucleotides) under Hevea brasiliensis (rubber tree). The record is from RNAcentral. Lineage: Eukaryota; Viridiplantae; Streptophyta; Magnoliopsida; Malpighiales; Euphorbiaceae.